Molecule: ribosomal RNA, 362 nt
Filed under: uncultured bacterium
Lineage: Bacteria
Description: bacterial SSU rRNA
Rfam family: Bacterial small subunit ribosomal RNA
Source: RNAcentral
CAGUGAGGAAGGUAGGAGUAUGUUAAUAGCAUAUUCAUUUGACGUUAGCUGCAGAAGAAGCACCGGCUAACUCCGUGCCAGCAGCCGCGGUAAUACGGAGGGUGCGAGCGUUAAUCGGAAUUACUGGGCGUAAAGCGCAUGCAGGUGGUUUGUUAAGUCAGAUGUGAAAGCCCGGGGCUCAACCUCGGAAUUGCAUUUGAAACUGGCAAACUAGAGUACUGUAGAGGGGGUAGAAUUUCAGGUGUAGCGGUGAAAUGCGUAGAGAUCUGAAGGAAUACCGGUGGCGAAGGCGGCCCCCUGGACAGAUACUGACACUCAGAUGCGAAAGCGUGGGGAGCAAACAGGAUUAGAUACCCUGGUAG